Molecule: long non-coding RNA, 5421 nt
Filed under: Triticum aestivum (bread wheat)
Lineage: Eukaryota; Viridiplantae; Streptophyta; Magnoliopsida; Poales; Poaceae
Description: long non-coding RNA (TAES_LNC022975)
Source: RNAcentral
CUCACUCGCAGAUGUUGGAUGGUGCCCAUGGCCGUGCCGUACGACAACGAUGAGCGCCACAGCCCUGAGGUAAAUGGCCGCCGCCCUCAUACUCUUUGAUUUAGGGUUAUGGUGUCCGGGAUUUCGCCUCUAGGGCCGGGUUUUGCUGAAAUCUUAGGGGUUAACGAAUUUGACUAAAUCCCUUCUCAUAUAGAUACUUAGACCGAGAACCCUGGGCCCCUUAGCUCACUGAUGCGGCACUUUAGCUCGUUUAUAUUCGACAAAUAGGGCUAGUUACUUAGGUGACUUAGGGCUAAAUCGAGACUUAUUACUGCUUAAACAUAUGAACAACUUAAACAGGAGCAUGAAUCAAUCGCUUGCGAAGACAAACUAGCAUAUACAGAUAGCAUCUGGGGCACAUGCUUAGCAUGAAAACAUAAAACUUGAUGCAUAUGUCCUUGAAUGGAAACAUGUAUCCAUGAAUGGAUCAUCAGGGGAUUCAAUCUUAGAGCUAGAUGGCUCUGAUGUCAUUUCCUUAUAUAUGUGUAUGGAUUAGCACUGUGCACUAGGGGUGACACCUGGUGCUACAGUCGGUCGGUUUGCAACUGAUCAAGGCAAAAUCCGUCCUUUCUGUUUAGCUAAUUAUCUGUCAGGUUUAGUUUAGCCAGCAGAUCAAACCAACACAAGCUUGACCGCUUUAGAAUAGUUGAGAAAGAGAUUUAUAUAAUCAUCUGUAGGUAAAUAGAAGCCCAUAUGCAAGACCAGAUACGUACCUUCAGUCUUAAUUACAUCAAUGCUACACAGAAAGCUUUCAACUGUUAGUGAACCACAGAACAUGCAACAUCCAUACGGAUGGGUCCCGCUAUUUUCUAGAGCACGCAACCAGUUCAUGUAUGAUGUUAAGUGUCCGAAACAUGUACGAUAGACAAUCAAAGGGAUGUGCUGCACCUUGGGCAUGUGCUGCAUCAAGAUGGGAAAAUGCACCUCAAACAAGUACAAUGCCUGAGACAUGCAUGAGCUUUAGACCUGAAAUAGGGAAGACUGUACAGGCGACCGAUCUUAAUUUCACAUCAAUGAUGUUAAAACCAACUAGCAUUAUUUUACUGCAAAAACACAUACACGUUGUAUAUCUGAUUAUUUUCUUUAAGAGCGCAUCCAAUUGUUUGAUCCAUACAAACAUGGUAAAAUACAAGCAAUCUUUAUUUUUCUGACUGCACAGGCAAAGAUAGAUCACGAAUCUCGAGUUUGAGUGGCUCAUGGAUAACUGCGUUCACUGUGCUAACCAUCUCAGUUGGUGAGGAAAAUGCAUCAGUGUGAGAGUAGAAGAAGUGGCAUAUCUUGCACAUGUUCCAAAACAGCUCCCUGCAUGCCCUAGGAACAACACUAUCUUCCUUAAGGACCAACCUCAGCAAGUCUUUUCUACACGAGGCUACAGAUCUCCUUAUUGACUCUUUAGCCGCUUCAAUGGACAUAGAACCGUCACUGUGGAGAACACGUAGUGAAACACUAUCGAGUUUUCCCUCGCUGCUCUCCCUCUGUAUUAAUAGUAGACCAAAAAUCUGUCAGAAUAGCCCAACUACAACUUAAAGGUCUAAAGUGGCUUACAGAGAUAUGAGUAAUUACUAUCUUCUCAAAUAUUCACGACAUGAACACGGUAUGCACAAAAAUCAGUACUUGAUUUCUAACUCUCAAAGUGAAUAUGGGACUUGCAUUGUUCUGUGCUCUAAAUAAUACCAUGAAUGGCUGGAAAUCUAGAUUUUUGCGAGGAUUACUAUUUACUAUGACGCCUCUAGUCAUACCAAGUAUUUGUAUAUAUAAAUAUUUUUCGUGUAGUGAUAUCUGAAGCCAUAUGUGAAAAAAUGAUAUGCUUACAGAGCUAUACCAAAUUGGAAGACACAAACUUUAAGCCAUAAAGGGGCCGAAAUACCUCAAAGCCUUGAAUGUCGUUGAGGAGUCGGCAACAAGUGCCCAUUAGCCUGAAUAACUCAUUGUACUCUUGACCAUUCACAACAGAUGCCAAGAGUGUUUGCCCGACAAAAUAUGAUGCUGGGAGCAGAAUGGGAGCCAAUGUGAAUGAUACAAUUGCAGUUUCCAUGUACUCUUCGACUGUCGGCACAUAUUGUCUCAUCCGCCAAUCUGCGUCGGUUAUCAUAGUCCCCAGUAGUUGUAGCCACUACACAAGAUUUGCAACAUUUCAAUGCUAAGCACAAUAAAAUUCAGAAUCAUUCAGACUCACGGGAAACUCACAAUUUCUAUUAGGUGCUUUUUGACGUCACGGUCUUGUACAAAUGAAGCCAUUGUUCCAAGAUGGUUCGUUGUAGUGUAAAUGGCAUAAAACAAUAUUUUUACUUGCUCAGAGUAGAAUUCGUCUUUGGAGUGCUCAUCCCACCUAAAGACACGCAUUAGCAAAUUAGGCAAAAUGACUUGUUAGAACAGCAAGACAUCGUCAUAACACUACUUUAUAAAAUGAAGGAGAAGGUUUCUCAGCAUCUUUAGAUAGGAAAAUGCCAUCAGUGGUGCUAAAAAAGGACAUAUAAAGAGAUCAAGUUGACGAAUCGUACUUCUCGAGUAGUGUUACAAGGUUUUCUAGUUCUUCUCUUGACCCCUCAAUAUCGAAGAAGUCAUCAACAAUAUUUAAGAGUAUAGAAUUUUUGGCCCAUGAAAUGCGAGCAUCAGACAGUUCAGGAGGGAACAUGGUAGCCGCAGCAGCAAGAUAGCAAAAUGUUGUCCUCUGUCGUGCAAACAGUAGCUGGUCUAGCCUGGUCUCCUUCACCCAACUGUUGCAACAAAGAAAAUUUGAAAAUUCUCUAAGAAAGGAAGUUACUAAGACUAGAGAGCAUAAUUAUCAAGUUACCGUUCAAGAAGCUGGAGUUCAUCCUGGUAAAUAGAUUGAGAGAAGGUGAAAUCUUCAAUAGCCAAGGCUAGAAUAUCUUGGUUUACACAACAUGGCCUGAUUUACCAAAAUGUUAAAAUUUGGUAUCUAACAUCUACUUAUAUUUAUAUGAUUCAAAGUUGACAAGUGUUUUAGGAAAUAAAACUUUACAAUUGUUCUGUCUUCAACAUCUGCGAACCCCUCAAAUCAAAGUUUUCAAUGUUCCACUUCUGAUCCAGGCGUUCCAUUGUGGCAUAAAAGGGAAAUUUAAGAGCAUACUCCACCUGAAAUUACAAAAGCAUACAAGUAAACAUAAACUGUACCCUAAUUAAAUAUAGGAUCAAAUCAUUUUUUGAGUUCUAAAUUUGAUGCAAGCACCUCUGCAAAGACCGGCCUACUUUGCACGCCGUCAUGGAUUAAUUUUUCCCUUAAUAAGUUGCUUGACCAGUGUCUAAUAUUAUCAAGAAUAAAUUCAUUUUCUUCUACACUGACUGUUGAUGCCUUGUAUAAUUCCAAUAUAGAUUUUGUAUCAUUUAAAUACCCUUGAAGUGAAUUAUGAAAAGUGGAGGCUUCAUCAACAUGACGUAGCUCAUCUGCAUCAGAUUGAAAUUAGUGAAUUAAUUAGUUAAAAAAUACAAAAGGUAAAAUAAAUAAGAUAGGAAAUUCCGCCCAAUGAAGUACCUGAGGAAACGUCAUAUCCAUUCAUCCGUAACUGACGAAACGCCAUUGCGCAUGUCGCUACAUCCAGCAUGAUUUCCUCAUCUCUUUGUACCCACAAACUGUAAGGUGGGCACAGUCAAGUUUACAAGCUACAAAAACUAAAUGUCAAAUGUUUAUUCAUGGUCACUACCUAUAUGUCAUGUUUAAGAUGGUCUUUAUCUCACUACAAAAAUGGUGAGAUAUCCCGAUCUUUUCAAGAGAAUCCACCAUUGAAAGCUGGCAAUAUACAUUUGUCGGGUACACUGUUGGUACUGCAAAAUUCCAAUUUUGUGAGCUAUAUAAAAAGUUUAUGCCCUUGCAAAUUCUUGAUGAGAAAAUAUACAAAAACCCACCUGAACUACCACAUUUACUAACAAGCAAGUUCAGGUACUGGAGGGCUUUGUCAUCAUAAUUGUGGAUUAAAGCAGCAGCAGUUGCUGAAGGAGAGUUGAACAAUGAUCCAUUAUUCCUCUGGAACUUGAUAAGUUCAUUCCAGUCCAGCGGGACUCCUAACCCUUCAGCAACAUAAGCCAUGUAUGCUUCUCUCCCAUCAGAUUUAUCCCCAGCAAGUCUGUAUUAAUACAUUUUUUCAAAAUGUUACUAGCAUGUAAUACUCAAAUUAUGAAUGCUAUUUUAAUUUCAUUGGUAAGAAAAAAGACGAUACAUUAUGCUCAUUCUACUAUACUUUGAAUCAUGGAACUUCAAAAAGUUUCCAAAAAAUAAAAAUAAAAAUCAGCUUAAUAAAAAGAAAGAGAUAAGAAGCAAAUCAGCCAAAAGAAAUUCCAUUCACACUACUAGCUGCGUUCGAGUAAGAACCAACUAUCCUAACCAGAAAUAAAUGGGAAAGGAAUGCAUGCAUGUGCACAUUUUUGUGCCAUAAUUGUCAUUUGACAAACCUUUUCAAUUCCAUCUGCCGGACGUGAAGAAUCCCAUCAACAUCAGUUUGUCUCGCUGGAAAUUCCAAGCCCAUUCCAAUGGCUUGCCUAAUCAUACCAGGAAAAGUAAUAUUGAAACCUAUAGGAGUAGCAAUCUGCUCAUCCAUAGAGAAGGAGAAUUUUUUUCCAAUAAAAUGCAGUCCUGUUUCGCAAAAGGAAAAAUAUAGUUAUGUCAGUAUAGACCAUUUUAUCUCAACAAAAGUUGUUAGAUCGUAUAAACAGAAGAUAAUAAAAUGACACAACCCUAACAAGUAUUCCCUCCGUUCCAAAAUAAGUAUAAUUUGAACUAAAAUGACGACACUUAUUUUGGGAAGGAGGGAGUAUAUUUUUUCCCAUACCUCUCCUGAUGUGUUCCGGGCCAACAUUCCAUUUCUUGAGUGCAAUAACACACGCCAAUGUGGAUAAGAGAGUAGACUUGUCGGGUGACAAGUCAAAUUCGCUGAUGCCCCAAGAACCAUUAUCCUGUUGGCUUUGCAAUAUCCAUUCAAGGCACCGAGGGAAGUGUGGAGCACUAGGGAAAUCCCGCAAGGGCACCAUAGCAACCCAUGCUGUGUCGUACGGAGAUGGUGUCAAUUCAGGAUUCUGAAGCUGCUUCCUUAUUCUAGCCUCCCGUUCCUAAUUUGUAUGCAACAUUUGAUGCUUGUAUUUAGUUCAGGCCGUAAAAUCAUCAGCGCAGCCUCACACAUAUUACUGGAACAUUGAUUCAUACCUUGUUUCGCAGGCCUGCAUUUUCUCCUACCAAACUCUUCUUCGCUGUUUGAAGAAAAGGAGAUUUAUGUCACACGUCAAUUAGAUGCUGAUCUUUCGCUGUCUCUACUCUCGGAACAAAAAGUUGCGACAUGAACUGGGGAUUCUUUUAACAAAAAAGAUCUUUGAAGCUGCUUGUAAUUUAAGACAUACUAAUAGUGUAUUUCUUUUAGAUGUAAAAAACCAAGU